Molecule: ribosomal RNA, 355 nt
Filed under: uncultured bacterium
Lineage: Bacteria
Description: partial 16S ribosomal RNA
Rfam family: Bacterial small subunit ribosomal RNA
Source: RNAcentral
CCUACGGGUGGCAGCAGUGAGGAAUAUUGGUCAAUGGACGGAAGUCUGAACCAGCCAUGCCGCGUGCAGGAAGACGGCUCUAUGAGUUGUAAACUGCUUUUGUACAAGGGUAAACCUGCAUACGUGUAUUCAGCUGAAAGUACUAUACGAAUAAGGAUCGGCUAAUUCCGUGCCAGCAGCCGCGGUAAUACGGAGGAUCCAAGCGUUCUCCGGAUUUAGUGGGUUUAAAGGGUGCGUAGGCGGAUUGAUAAGUUAGAGCUGAAAGGGCCGAGCUUAACUCGGGAACUGCCUCGAAUACUGUUGAUAUAGGGAGUAGAUGCGGAAGGCGGAAUGGAUGGUGUAGCGGGGAAAUGCU